This 579-nucleotide ribosomal RNA is filed under the name uncultured archaeon. Its description in RNAcentral is "bacterial SSU rRNA". It matches the Rfam family "Archaeal small subunit ribosomal RNA", at positions 92 to 656 of the family's 1478-position model. The record is from RNAcentral.
ACCCUUACAUAGUCAACCUGCCCUCGGGUCGAGAAUAAUCUCCUGAAACUGAGGCUAAUGAGCGACAGGUCAAGAUUCCUGGAAUGGGUUUUGGUCUAAACGGCGUGACAGCAUCCUGUCAUGUCCGCCCGAGGAUGGGACUGCGGCCGAUCAGGCUGUUGGUGGGGUAAAGGCCCACCAAACCAGUAACCGGUACGGGCUUUGAGAGAAGGAGCCCGGAGAUGGACACUGAGACAAGGGUCCAGGUCCUACGGGGCGCAGCAGGCGCGAAACCUUCGCAAUGCGCGCAAGCGCGACGAGGUUAUUCCGAGUGAUUUCCGCUGAGGAAAUCUUUUCUCAGAUCUAAAAAGUCUGGGGAAUAAGGGGAGGGCAAGUCUGGUGUCAGCCGCCGCGGUAAUACCAGCUCCUCGAGUGGUCAGGGCGUUUAUUGGGCCUAAAGCAUCCGUAGCCUGCUCGGUAGGUCUCCUGUUAAAUCCAACGGCUCAACCGUUGGUCUGCAGGAGAUACCGCUGGGCUAGGAGGCGGGAGAGGCGGACGGUACUCCGAGGGUAGGGGUAAAAUCCUUUGAUCCCCGGAAGA